RNAcentral lists this ribosomal RNA (450 nucleotides) under uncultured bacterium. RNAcentral describes it as "partial 16S ribosomal RNA". It matches the Rfam family "Bacterial small subunit ribosomal RNA", at positions 354 to 796 of the family's 1533-position model. The record is from RNAcentral.
GUGGGGAAUCUUCCACAAUGGACGAAAGUCUGAUGGAGCAACGCCGCGUGAGUGAAGAAGGGUUUCGGCUCGUAAAGCUCUGUUGUCGGGGACGAAUGUGCAGUAUUUGAAUAAAGUACUGCAAUGACGGUACCUGACGAGGAAGCCACGGCUAACUACGUGCCAGCAGCCGCGGUAAUACGUAGGUGGCAAGCGUUGUCCGGAAUUAUUGGGCGUAAAGGGAGCGCAGGCGGGAAGGUAAGUCGGUCUUAAAAGUGCGGGGCUCAACCCCGUGAUGGGAUCGGAACUAUCUUUCUUGAGUGCAGGAGAGGAAAGUGGAAUUCCUAGUGUAGCGGUGAAAUGCGUAGAUAUUAGGAGGAACACCAGUGGCGAAGGCGACUUUCUGGACUGUAACUGACGCUGAGGCUCGAAAGCCAGGGGAGCGAACGGGAUUAGAAACCCGUGUAGUCC